This 497-nucleotide ribosomal RNA is filed under the name uncultured bacterium. RNAcentral describes it as "partial 16S ribosomal RNA". It matches the Rfam family "Bacterial small subunit ribosomal RNA", at positions 28 to 507 of the family's 1533-position model. The record is from RNAcentral.
GAUGGACGCUGGCGGCGUGCCUAAUACAUGCAAGUCGAGCGAACGGACGAGAAGCUUGCUUCUCUGAUGUUAGCGGCGGACGGGUGAGUAACACGUGGAUAACCUACCUAUAAGACUGGGAUAACUUCGGGAAACCGGAGCUAAUACCGGAUGAUAUUUUGAACCGCAUGGUUCAAAAGUGAAAGACGGUCUUGCUGUCACUUAUAGAUGGGUCCGCGCUGCAUUAGCUAGUUGGUAAGGUAACGGCUUACCAAGGCAACGAUGCAUAGCCGACCUGAGAGGGUGAUCGGCCACACUGGAACUGAGACACGGUCCAGACUCCUACGGGAGGCAGCAGUAGGGAAUCUUCCGCAAUGGGCGAAAGCCUGACGGAGCAACGCCGCGUGAGUGAUGAAGGUCUUCGGAUCGUAAAACUCUGUUAUUAGGGAAGAACAUAUGUGUAAGUAACUGUGCACAUCUUGACGGUACCUAAUCAGAAAGCCACGGCUAACUACGUG